Molecule: long non-coding RNA, 1485 nt
Organism: Gadus macrocephalus (Pacific cod)
Lineage: Eukaryota; Metazoa; Chordata; Actinopteri; Gadiformes; Gadidae
Exons: 2
Source: RefSeq, a predicted model, not a curated record
AGACACAGACGUCAUUCUCAUGUGCUUCUCCAUCGAUAACCUGGACAGCUUAGGUUAUGAAUCCAAAAUACCCCUUGUGUUGCCUAUCUAUCAUUGAAAAUGUUUUUAUUUAUCCAAAUCUAGAAAUUUGUAAAAUGCGACCACGAAGGGACUCGAACCCUCAAUCUUCUGAUUCGAAGUCAGACGCCUUAUCCAUUAGGCCACGCGGUCAUAUAGAUUACCACACUGUUUGUUCAUUAUUUUUAAUAUUAACAUUAGUUGCUUCGAUUUUGGUUUUGUUACGAUUGUUCUCGGCAGCACUUAAUACACAGUGGAUAGAAAUGCCGGCUAAAUGGCCAAAUGUAAAUAAUGCUGUAAAUCUUAACUAUUGGCUAACUGACGUUGGCGUACCUUCCGGUCGGCUCUCAGAGAACAUCCCUGAGAAGUGGACCCCAGAGGUGAAACACUUCUGCCCCAACGUUCCCAUCAUCCUGGUCGGCAACAAGAAGGACCUGCACAACGACGAGCAGGAGCUGGCCAAGAGGAAGCAGGUUGUCCAGGCGGCCGGCGUACGUCUGCUUGGUGGCGGAGCGGCGGGCCAGCCACAUCCUGAGCCCCCCGUCGGCGCUCCGGCAGAACCCGUUGAUGUGGACGCCGUACCUCCUCACCCCAAACAGGCCUGCUCAGAACCAGGGCCGGGAUCAGAACCAGGGCCGGGAUCAGAACCAGGGCCGGGAUCAGAACCAGGGCCGGGAUCAGAACCAGGGCUGGGAUCAGAACCCAGCUCAGAACCAGGGCCGGGAUCAGAACCAGGGCCGGGAUCAGAACCCAGCUCAGAACCCCAGCAGGCUCAGACUGGAUAACGCUGGGCUGGGAUCAGGCUAGAUGAGGUGAUCACCAUCACCACAUCUACAUACUGCCCUGCCCGUUCUAAACUUUCUCAGGAGUCUAAUUGUUCAAAUUUCAACUGGACUUACUGGUUGCUGAUCGCUCCAUAGACAUCAGUGGGGCGUCGCAGUAUCUGGCCAUGACGUCAUACCUCUGACGGGGGUUAGACAUUAAGUUAUGUUGAAUGCCUCCAUAACUGCGUCAAUAUGAUUGCAUGAGGCUGUGGAGGAAGCGUGUCUAGUUAGUCACUCACCUCAUCCCUCCAUCCCUUCAAACAUGUCAGCGCGUCGCUGCGUCUCAGGCUCUGCAGGACGCGGUCGACUUCCUCUGACCUCUUGGAGUGAGUGUCCAGCCUCGAGCUGAGGGAAAGGGCGCCGUCGUUGGGCGGAUCGAAGACGUCUGGGAAGUUCCUCAAAAUGGCGGCCAUUUGAGGGAGGAUCCAACCGACCUGUUGGUCCGCCACCAUGAAGCGCAGACAUCUGGCGCGGCAGGACCCUGGCAGGACCGGGACUAGUAAUUAGCUGAUUUAUCGCCCAUUAUUUACAAUCAAGACAAUGAAAUAACCACAGUAUACCAGCAUGGUACAAAAUAGUGGAAAUAAAAGCAUAAAAACCUCAA